Molecule: ribosomal RNA, 497 nt
Filed under: uncultured bacterium
Lineage: Bacteria
Description: partial 16S ribosomal RNA
Rfam family: Bacterial small subunit ribosomal RNA
Source: RNAcentral
GAUGAACGCUGGCGGCGUGCCUAGUACAUGCGAGUCGAGCGAACAGACGAGGAGCUUGCUCCUCUGACGUUAUCGGCGGACGGGUGAGUAACACGUGGAUAACCUACCUAUAAGACUGGGAUAACUUCGGGAAACCGGAGCUAAUACCGGAUAAUAUAUUGAACCGCAUGGUUCAAUAGUGAAAGACGGUAUUGCUGUCACUUAUAGAUGGCUCCGCGCCGAAUUAGCUAGUUGGUAAGGUAACGGCUUACCAAGGCAACGAUGCGUAGACGACCUGAGAGGGAGAUCGGCCACAUGGGAAGUGAGACAGGGUCCAGACACCUGGGGGAGGCAGCAGUAGGGAAUCUUCCGCAAGGGGCGAAAGCCUAACGGAGCAACGCCGCGUAAGUGAUGAAGGACUACGGAUCGUAAAACUCUGUUAUUAGGGAAGAACAAAUGUGUAAGUAACUAUGAACAUCUUGACGGUACCUAAUCAGAAAGCCACGGCUAACUACGUG